AGACGCCGGAGUUGCGUGAUAUGGUUGUCGAUUCACUGCACCGCGCCAGAUAAGUUCCCUGUCCAGUCCAAGUGAUGGAAGCACCGAGUCCGAGCACUGCGCUGCCCACAUACAACAGCACCGUCGAUGGGAACAUAAAGUGCUCCUACCACCAUGGCCACUCUAGGUCCCGUAAACGAUAUGAAGGACGGUGCCAGCCAGUUGGAGAGCGAAAAGAAUAGAUAAAUAAUGGCCAGACUUGUGUAGCCCUCGCCCUUGAAGGUAUCAUCUUCCUGGGAAAUGCUGUCCAGUAUAGUUUUCUGUGGAUGAAAUCGGAUAGAAAUACAUUAAUUAUCAUUUCGAAAACGUGCCGCUUUUUGUUUUAUGCAUGCCAAUGAACCGGCAAUGGAGGGUUCUGGUCUCAAAUAAUAUAUGUUUUAAAUGUUAUAUACAAAACGUGUUCUCGAUUCAAGUACAAAAUGAGCUUAAAAUACAGGUAUUUCUUGUCCGGAUGCAUUUAUUGAGAACAAAAAGUUGCCCUGUUCCCAUACAGUACAGUACAUACAGCGCAGCACCUCCUCCAAUAAUUUUAAUUACUUGCAAUAUUGAAUGCGAUUGCACUCUGCAAGAAAAUUCAAGUGCAAUGCUGCAAUUCUUCUGAGGCAGACCGCAUUCUGAAGCUGAAUAUGAAUGGAAAAAUACUAGCUCAAUGAAUAUGUACGAAACAUGUUUUCGGUUUGGUAAUUUUCCAUUUGAAAGGACGCAUCUGAAUGCACCGUGGAAUGAUAUCGCUAUCUCGCAGCUGAAUUCUGACUCUGACACGAUUUCGAUUUCGAUUUGCAUCAAUUAGCUGACACUGGCCCGGUCUGGUCUGGUCCUUGUGCCCAUUUUGAAGUCCAACAUGAGAGCAGAGCUGUGCUGCAUUAUCAGUACUGUACUCGAUGCAGUUCUCGGCACCAGCACUUCGAAAACGCUCGAUAGCCCCAUACACAGUACUGUGCGUCAGACACUCUCCCCCCCCCAAUCCGGAUGUGCUUUUGGAAACGGAAGUGCUCAGACAGUGUAAUGGAAUGCAGGAACUGCCUAGAACAGGAAGUUGUUGGCUCAAUGCUAAGAAAAAAUGCUUUGGGGACUUUCAUUUUUUCUACGGCAAUCCACAAACAUUGUACAUGUGGUGUAUGUUAUAAUGGUUUUAUUCUUACCAUUCACCGAUUAUGCAUUAACCUAUAUAUGUGUAUACUAGACUAACUUUAUGAAGCAGCUCAAUGGCCAUAACAUGAUACUGAUAAGAGCACUCGACUCUCAAGUGCCAUCUAUCCUUAUCAGCUGCUAAUAAA
This is a long non-coding RNA of Drosophila pseudoobscura, 1316 nucleotides long. RefSeq lists it as uncharacterized. Lineage: Eukaryota; Metazoa; Arthropoda; Insecta; Diptera; Drosophilidae. The record is from RefSeq and is a predicted model, not a curated record. The transcript is spliced from 3 exons.